GACGAACGCUGGCGGCGUGCUUAACACAUGCAAGUUGAACGGAAAGGCCCUGCUUUUGUGGGGUGCUCGAGUGGCGAACGGGUGAGUAACACGUGAGUAACCUGCCCUUGACUUUGGGAUAACUUCAGGAAACUGGGGCUAAUACCGGAUAGGAGCUCCUGCUGCAUGGUGGGGGUUGGAAAGUUUCGGCGGUUGGGGAUGGACUCGCGGCUUAUCAGCUUGUUGGUGGGGUAGUGGCUUACCAAGGCUUUGACGGGUAGCCGGCCUGAGAGGGUGACCGGCCACAUUGGGACUGAGAUACGGCCCAGACUCCUACGGGAGGCAGCAGUGGGGAAUAUUGCACAAUGGGCGGAAGCCUGAUGCAGCAACGCCGCGUGCGGGAUGACGGCCUUCGGGUUGUAAACCGCUUUCGCCUGUGACGAAGCGUGAGUGACGGUAAUGGGUAAAGAAGCACGGGCUAACUACGUG
Molecule: ribosomal RNA, 468 nt
Filed under: uncultured bacterium
Lineage: Bacteria
Description: partial 16S ribosomal RNA
Rfam family: Bacterial small subunit ribosomal RNA
Source: RNAcentral